Molecule: ribosomal RNA, 331 nt
Filed under: uncultured bacterium
Lineage: Bacteria
Description: partial 16S ribosomal RNA
Rfam family: Bacterial small subunit ribosomal RNA
Source: RNAcentral
CCUACGGGGGGCAGCAGUGGGGAAGAGUGCGCAAUGGGCGAAAGCCUGACGCAGCGACGCCGCGUGAGGGAUGAAGGUCUUCGGAUCGUAAACCUCUGUCAGCAGGGAAGAACGGUCACGGGGCGAAGCAGCAGUGAAUUGACGGUACCGGCAAAGGAAGCACCGGCUAACUCCGGGCCAGCAGCCGCGGUAAUACGGAGGGUGCGAGCGUUAAUCGGAAUUACUGGGCGUAAAGCGCUCGUAGGCGGUAGGUCAAGUCAAGGGUGAAAUCCCCGCGCGCAACGUGGGAACUGCCUUUGAACCUGGCAACCUGGCUUGUGUGCGCGGCUAG